UGAGAACCAAGAUCUGUCAUAUAAAGGUACAAGAUCCCAGUGAUAAAUGUAACUGUACUGCAUACUUAAGAAGUACCAAUAAACUCAAUUUAAAAAAAAGAGAUAUACAAUUUGUUUUCACUGGAUUUUUAAAAUUAUGAAUGUGUUACAGUCUUUUCAACAUUUAACAACUAAAUAACUCAUUGAGUAAAUGGCAAGUUGUACAAUGUGUCAUGAGAGACAGCAAAUACUAUCUCAAAGUAUAUUCCCAACUUAAACAUUAAAUGAAGGUAAAGGAACAUUUACAUUAUAUUUUCUCUUUUUAAAAACUCAUGCUAAUGCUUCUCCCA
This 329-nucleotide long non-coding RNA is filed under the name Fukomys damarensis (Damara mole-rat). RNAcentral describes it as "lncRNA (ENSFDAG00000023486.1)". Lineage: Eukaryota; Metazoa; Chordata; Mammalia; Rodentia; Bathyergidae. The record is from RNAcentral.